RNAcentral lists this ribosomal RNA (485 nucleotides) under uncultured Prevotella sp. Its description in RNAcentral is "bacterial SSU rRNA". It matches the Rfam family "Bacterial small subunit ribosomal RNA", at positions 907 to 1392 of the family's 1533-position model. Lineage: Bacteria; Pseudomonadati; Bacteroidota; Bacteroidia; Bacteroidales; Prevotellaceae. The record is from RNAcentral.
GAAUUGACGGGGGCCCGCACAAGCGGAGGAACAUGUGGUUUAAUUCGAUGAUACGCGAGGAACCUUACCCGGGCUUGAAUUGCAGAUGAAGGAUCCAGAGAUGGUGACGCCCUUCGGGGCAUCUGUGAAGGUGCUGCAUGGUUGUCGUCAGCUCGUGCCGUGAGGUGUCGGCUCAAGUGCCAUAACGAGCGCAACCCCUCUCUUCAGUUGCCAUCAGGUGAUGCUGGGCACUCUGGAGACACUGCCACCGCAAGGUGUGAGGAAGGUGGGGAUGACGUCAAAUCAGCACGGCCCUUACGUCCGGGGCUACGCACGUGUUACAAUGGGGGGUACAGAAAGCCGGCUGCCCGCAAGGUCAGUCCAAUCAAGAAAGCCUCCCUCAGUUCGGACUGGGGUCUGCAACCCGACCCCACGAAGCUGGAUUCGCUAGUAAUCGCGCAUCAGCCAUGGCGCGGUGAAUACGUUCCCGGGCCUUGUACACACCG